RNAcentral lists this transfer RNA (85 nucleotides) under Felis catus (domestic cat). It matches the Rfam family "tRNA". From Rfam's summary of the family: Transfer RNA (tRNA) molecules are approximately 80 nucleotides in length. Their secondary structure includes four short double-helical elements and three loops (D, anti-codon, and T loops). Further hydrogen bonds mediate the characteristic L-shaped molecular structure. tRNAs have two regions of fundamental functional importance: the anti-codon, which is responsible for specific mRNA codon recognition, and the 3' end, to which the tRNAs corresponding amino acid is attached (by aminoacyl-tRNA synthetases). tRNAs cope with the degeneracy of the genetic code in two manners: having more than one tRNA (with a specific anti-codon) for a particular amino acid; and 'wobble' base-pairing, i.e. permitting non-standard base-pairing at the 3rd anti-codon position. Lineage: Eukaryota; Metazoa; Chordata; Mammalia; Carnivora; Felidae. The record is from Rfam by way of RNAcentral.
GCCUGGGUGGCUCAGUCGGUUGAGCGUCUGACUUCGGCUCAGGUCAUGAUCUCACAGCUCGUGAGUUCGAGCCCCGCCUCGGGCU